GGGCGGCCCCCAAGUCCCCACACAAGGUGGGGGUGCUGCGCGGCACGGGGAGGCCCGGGAGAUGCUCGGGAUGGGGAAAAUCCUCAGCUCCGGCCCCUUCUGAUGUUCUGCCAAUGGAAUGGAAGCAGUCCAGAGUAGGGAAGAGAGAGCCACAUCCUGUCUGGAAUCGGACAUCCAUCCCCUCAUCUCUGGCUGGGUUCAUGGGGACACAGCUAACCUCAAGCAGGACAAAUGUGGUCCCACUGGACUACACUGUCCCUGGAGGCUGCACAAUCCAGGCUGUUGGGGGGUCCCUGCCCUUGGGAAUUCAGCUCCUGGAGGCAAAUGGAUAUUGGGCCUUGAGAAGAUCCAAAGAAGUCUAGAGAACCACUCCCGUCUCUGUUGCUUCGUGCUGUGGAGGUGGUAUCGGGCAGGGUCUGCACACAUCUGGAAGGGCAGCCUGGACCAAACCUUUGAUGAGACUCUGCUCCAAAAACAAGAUGCAAUGCCUGGUCUCUCCUGGUGUGUGAGCCCUUUGGUGGCCUGGUUUUGGACUUAUCCUCCAAGCCUUCCCCAGGCACAUACUCUCUCUGCUUCUCUCUCUCUCUCUUUUGCACUGUCUCACUUUCUAUGUCUCCUUCUUUUUCAUCUUUUUAUUUUCUUCUUUUUCCUUCAUCUUUUUUGCUGUCUCUUUUCUUUCUUUAUCUCUCUCCAUCCUUCACUCUGUCCUCUCUCUCCACACACCCUUCUCUCCCUUUCUAUAUGAUCUCCA
Molecule: long non-coding RNA, 751 nt
Filed under: Equus asinus (donkey)
Lineage: Eukaryota; Metazoa; Chordata; Mammalia; Perissodactyla; Equidae
Description: lncRNA (ENSEASG00005026630.1, ENSEASG00020018939.1)
Source: RNAcentral